AUCUGGUGGUGAGGGCAAUUGGCACAUAGUUUCUUAAAUAUCUCCUAGUAUUUAUAUAAGCUCUCUCCACUGAGUUGUCUAAUGCCUGAAAUAUCCUUUCUGAUGGU
This 107-nucleotide small nucleolar RNA is filed under the name Glycine max (soybean). RNAcentral describes it as "Plant small nucleolar RNA R71". It matches the Rfam family "Plant small nucleolar RNA R71". Rfam says of the family: R71 is a member of the C/D box family of snoRNAs containing the C (UGAUGA) and D (CUGA) box motifs. Multiple nearly identical copies of this snoRNA have been identified in Arabidopsis, and it is thought to function as a 2'-O-ribose methylation guide for 18S ribosomal RNA. RNAcentral also lists the same sequence under 1 other name. Lineage: Eukaryota; Viridiplantae; Streptophyta; Magnoliopsida; Fabales; Fabaceae. The record is from Rfam by way of RNAcentral.